RNAcentral lists this long non-coding RNA (1297 nucleotides) under Vulpes vulpes (red fox). RNAcentral's name for it is "lncRNA (ENSVVUG00000022359.1)". Lineage: Eukaryota; Metazoa; Chordata; Mammalia; Carnivora; Canidae. The record is from RNAcentral.
GGUUAACUUGGACCACAGAUGCUCAAUGAACAUAACACCUGUUGGGGGUGGAGAAGAGGAAGCUGCUGCCCUGCAAGCCGUUCAGGAAGAAGACAUCAUACAAACAGGAGGCUGGGCAGGAAAAAUGAAAAUGAUUUUGAAUGUGUGAGAAUGUUGAGACAACAUCACUGUGGUUUGCUGUGUAAGGAAAUAAUCAAGAAGUUGGCCGAACGACAGUUGAAUCAGGAAUUUCAAGAGGAAAAUGGUGCCAUGUCCUUGAGCCUGACGGUGAUCUGGAGUCGGGGAUUGCUGGGGGAGCUCAUGCUGACCUGCCUUAUGUCACCAUGGACGCGGCGACCGCCUUCCACUAGCCGCUGUGAGGGAAUCGGGACGGAUGGCGUCCAGGAGACAGAAAGUCCAGGCCACCUGCACUGCUGGCCCUUGUCCGAGUAUGGCCGGUCCUGAACAAAGUCCAGGCCUGGCUUCUGGAUCCAGAGAGCCCCGUGGAAAAGGGGCUUUCCACACCUGGAAAGCAGGUGCAGGAGGCUGGGAGAGCAAAUGGGAAGGUCCCCCGAUCUCUCAAACGGGGGCACACAGGGGUGUCGUCUCCACCGUAGGAACGUCUGUGGAUCUGAGCUCAAGGAUAAAUGCAUAAUGCUGGGUUCUGCAUAAAUGCCGGGUUCAUGCUCUUUGGUUCUUAGGUGUUUGAACCCAGGUGGGGUCUAAAACACAGGUCAGAUGGAUCCAAGGGUGCUUGAUGACUUUGAGAGAUGCUCUAUUGACCCUGAGAGGAAACCAAUGUGGCAGGUGCAGAAGGUGACCCCCGACAUGUCUCACGGGGGCUUUGUGGUUCCUGAUCGCCCCGUAUGAACCUGAAAAGAAAAGACACCAUGCGGAAGGGCUUCCUUGGGGCGGCCUGUUAGGUCUCAGAUGCAGUUGGGAGACAUUUCAGUGGGCAUUUUAGACUCACUCUAAAGAAUUGGUUGGAAAUCACUGACAAAUCCCAGAUCCAUGAGGAAUUUGCAUUUAUAUCAUUCAGUGUUUUUGUUUCUCUGGUCCUGCUGGAUCCUAUUCCAACAUUGCAUCAGAUUUCACAUUUGACAUUAAAAACCUAAAGAGGGGAUCCCUGGGUGGCGCAGCGGUUUAGCUCCUGCCUUUGGCCCAGGGCGCGAUCCUGGAGACCCGGGAUCAAAUCCCACGUCGGGCUCCCGGUGCAUGGAGCCUGCUUCUCCCUCUGCCUGUGUCUCUGCCUCUCUGUGUGUGUGUGUGUGUGACUAUCAUAAAUAAAUAAAAAUUAAAAAAAAAAAACUAAAGAAAA